CGAAAUGCGAUAAGUAAUGUGAAUUGCAGAAUUCAGUGAAUCAUCGAAUCUUUGAACGCACAUUGCGCCCGCCAGUAUUCUGGCGGGCAUGCCUGUUCGAGCGUCAUUUCAACCAUCAAGCCCCCGGGCUUGUGUUGGGGACCUGCGGCUGCCGCAGGCCCCGAAAACCAGUGGCGGGCUCGCUGUCACACCGGGCGUAGUAGAUUUUUCGUCUCGCCCAGGGCGUGCUGCGGGUUCCGGCCGUUAAAAAGCCUCUCUUUUUAACCCAAGGUUGACCUCGGAUCAGGUAGGAAGACCCGCUGAACUUAAGC
RNAcentral lists this unclassified non-coding RNA (311 nucleotides) under plant metagenome. RNAcentral's name for it is "partial contains 5.8S ribosomal RNA, internal transcribed spacer 2, and large subunit ribosomal RNA". The stretch from base 1 to 106 matches the Rfam family "5.8S ribosomal RNA", at positions 49 to 154 of the family's 154-position model. The record is from RNAcentral.